GACGAACGCUGGCGGCGUGCUUAACACAUGCAAGUCGAACGGAAAGGCCCUGCUUGCAGGGUGCUCGAGUGGCGAACGGGUGAGUAACACGUGGGUGAUCUGCCCCUUACUUUGGGAUAAGCCUGGGAAACUGGGUCUAAUACUGGAUAGGACCAUGCUGUAGGUGGUGUGGUGGAAAGAUUAGUUUCGGUAAGGGAUGAGCUCGCGGCCUAUCAGCUUGUUGGUGGGGUAAUGGCCUACCAAGGCGUCGACGGGUAGCCGGCCUGAGAGGGUGGACGGCCACCUUGGGACUGAGAUACGGCCCAGACUCCUACGGGAGGCAGCAGUGGGGAAUAUUGCACAAUGGGCGCAAGCCUGAUGCAGCGACGCCGCGUGGGGGAUGACGGCCUUCGGGUUGUAAACUCCUUUCAGCCAUGACGAAGCCCUUGUGGUGACGGUAGUGGUAGAAGAAGCACCGGCUAACUACGUG
RNAcentral lists this ribosomal RNA (469 nucleotides) under uncultured bacterium. RNAcentral describes it as "partial 16S ribosomal RNA". It matches the Rfam family "Bacterial small subunit ribosomal RNA", at positions 28 to 507 of the family's 1533-position model. The record is from RNAcentral.